This 604-nucleotide ribosomal RNA is filed under the name Pantoea sp. VF6(2010). RNAcentral's name for it is "bacterial SSU rRNA". It matches the Rfam family "Bacterial small subunit ribosomal RNA", at positions 53 to 646 of the family's 1533-position model. Lineage: Bacteria; Pseudomonadati; Pseudomonadota; Gammaproteobacteria; Enterobacterales; Erwiniaceae. The record is from RNAcentral.
ACAUGCAAGUCGGACGGUAGCACAGAGGAGCUUGCUCCUUGGGUGACGAGUGGCGGACGGGUGAGUAAUGUCUGGGGAUCUGCCCGAUAGAGGGGGAUAACCACUGGAAACGGUGGCUAAUACCGCAUAACGUCGCAAGACCAAAGAGGGGGACCUUCGGGCCUCUCACUAUCGGAUGAACCCAGAUGGGAUUAGCUAGUAGGCGGGGUAAUGGCCCACCUAGGCGACGAUCCCUAGCUGGUCUGAGAGGAUGACCAGCCACACUGGAACUGAGACACGGUCCAGACUCCUACGGGAGGCAGCAGUGGGGAAUAUUGCACAAUGGGCGCAAGCCUGAUGCAGCCAUGCCGCGUGUAUGAAGAAGGCCUUCGGGUUGUAAAGUACUUUCAGCGGGGAGGAAGGCGAUGGGGUUAAUAACCGCGUCGAUUGACGUUACCCGCAGAAGAAGCACCGGCUAACUCCGUGCCAGCAGCCGCGGUAAUACGGAGGGUGCAAGCGUUAAUCGGAAUUACUGGGCGUAAAGCGCACGCAGGCGGUCUGUUAAGUCAGAUGUGAAAUCCCCGGGCUUAACCUGGGAACUGCAUUUGAAACUGGCAGGCUGAGU